Molecule: small nucleolar RNA, 138 nt
Organism: Ornithorhynchus anatinus (platypus)
Lineage: Eukaryota; Metazoa; Chordata; Mammalia; Monotremata; Ornithorhynchidae
Source: RefSeq, a predicted model, not a curated record
AACCUCUCAGGAUCACACCUGGAGAGUUUCCGGUACCCUACCAGUUUCCACUAUGAGAGGGAGAGUCAUGUAGAGGCCUACCCAUUCCAUUCCUAGCUUGGGCAGUGGCUAGAGAGUGGAAGAUAAUCUGCUACAAAU